AGUGAACGCUGGCGGUAGGCCUAACACAUGCAAGUCGAACGGCAGCACAGUAAGAGCUUGCUCUUACGGGUGGCGAGUGGCGGACGGGUGAGGAAUACAUCGGAAUCUACUUUUUCGUGGGGGAUCACGUAGGGAAACUUACGCUAAUACCGCAUACGACCUACGGGUGAAAGCAGGGGAUCUUCGGACCUUGCGCGGUUGAAUGAGCCGCUGUCGGAUUAGCUAGUUGGCGGGGUAAUGGCCCACCAAGGCGACGAUCCGUAGCUGGUCUGAGAGGAUGGUCGGCGACACUGGAACUGAGACACGGUCCAGGCUCCUACGGGAGGCAGCAGUGGGGAAUGUUGGACAAUGGGCGCAAGCCUGAUCCAGCCAUACCGCGUGGGUGAAGAAGGCCUUCGGGUUGUAAAGCCCUUUUGUUGGGAAAGAAAAGCAGCAGGUUAAUACCCCGCGGGUCUGAUGGUACCCAAAGAAUAAGCACCGGCUAACUUCGUG
This 492-nucleotide ribosomal RNA is filed under the name uncultured bacterium. Its description in RNAcentral is "partial 16S ribosomal RNA". It matches the Rfam family "Bacterial small subunit ribosomal RNA", at positions 29 to 507 of the family's 1533-position model. The record is from RNAcentral.